AAGUCGUAACAAGGUUUCCGUAGGUGAACCUGCGGAAGGAUCAUUAAAGAAUAUCGAGCCUCACAGCUCUUAUUCUCAGCCCACGUUUGUAUACCAAACUUUGCUUGCUUUGGCAGCCCUUUUAGGGCCUGCCUAGAGGACCGAAACCCUAGAAUCUCUGCCGUCUGAGUAUUAUAUAAUAGCUUAAAA
This 189-nucleotide unclassified non-coding RNA is filed under the name plant metagenome. RNAcentral describes it as "partial contains small subunit ribosomal RNA and internal transcribed spacer 1". The stretch from base 1 to 46 matches the Rfam family "Eukaryotic small subunit ribosomal RNA", at positions 1786 to 1831 of the family's 1831-position model. The record is from RNAcentral.